UGAGGUGCAGCUCAGUGGCAGAGUGCUUGCCUAGAAUGAGCGAGGCCCUGGGUUCCAUUCCCAGCAGCCCAA
RNAcentral lists this transfer RNA (72 nucleotides) under Marmota monax (woodchuck). Its description in RNAcentral is "tRNA.Ser". The record is from RNAcentral. Lineage: Eukaryota; Metazoa; Chordata; Mammalia; Rodentia; Sciuridae.